AUCGGGUGUAAGGCCAAUUUGGGCUACAAAAUGUAAAUGUAGAGUAAGCCGACAAUACUGAAAUACACAUAAAAACUAAAUUAUCAUAGGCUGCAUUUGAAUACAGCAUUUGAAAUCCAAAUAUUUCAAUCCAAUCUUCUAGCUCAAUUUGAUAAAUAAAGACCUCAAUUAGUAAAGGCAAAUUAAAUUCUAUAACAAUCUCAGCAAAUGUAUAUGAAAUUGUCAUCUCUGUAUGCAUUUUAAUUUUCUCUCUCAAAAGAAAAAAAUAUAUAUACCCUUCAAAAAGUUCUUAUCACCAUUGAAGAAUAGAUCUCCAUGGAUAAGUCUAAUCAACCUCUAAAAGAAAAAGGAAUCAAAAGCAUAUAUAUUUUAAAGCUCAUUUUAAUAAUUUGAAGCCAAAAAUAAAUUAAAAAAAAAUCCAAAUGUUACCUUAAAAUAAUAAGUUUCUAAGAACAAGACAAGGUUAAACAAAUCAAAAUAUUAAACAUCAUAACUACUAAUCAUAUUGGACAACAAUAAAUCCAAUUCUUUAUGAAACUGAACAAUAAAUCAGGUAGCCAUGGGUGCAUCCAAUGUAAGUCCAGUUGAUGGCUAACAGCUAACUUGAAUUCUAAUUUAUAUCACCAACUUCUUCACCACUCAUUGACCAAGCACAGGCACUUCCAGAAACCAUGGCCCCAACAUUUUACCAAACAUAUUAAAACCGUCUAACCAUUCCUUAACAAAAGUACUGGUCGCUCAAUGGCUCAAGGAUGAGCUAACCUUACAAAACUCAGUGUCAAAUGCAAUUAAGGGGGUAACCAGUAUUCACCUAUUGAUGAAAUAACACAAU
This 832-nucleotide unclassified non-coding RNA is filed under the name Hevea brasiliensis (rubber tree). Lineage: Eukaryota; Viridiplantae; Streptophyta; Magnoliopsida; Malpighiales; Euphorbiaceae. The record is from RNAcentral.